GACGAACGCUGGCGGCGUGCUUAACACAUGCAAGUCGAACGAUGAAGCCGUGGCUUGGUGUGGGGCUUGAGUGGCGAACGGGUGAGUAACACGUGAGUAACCUGCCCUGGACUUUGGGAUAAGUUUAGGAAACUAGGGCUAAUACCGGAUAGGAGCUUGGGCCGCAUGGUCGGGGUUGGAAAGUUUUGUCGGUCUGGGAUGGACUCGCGGCCUAUCAGCUUGUUGGUGAGGUAGUGGCUUACCAAGGCGUUGACGGGUAGCCGGCCUGAGAGGGUGACCGGCCAGAUUGGGAGAGAGGGACGGGACAGACACGUACGGCAGGAGUGGGGAGGAUAGAGUGCAGGGUGGGAGGAAGCCGGAGGCAGCAAGGGCGCGUGAUGGAGGACUGCGGGCUGUAUGCAGCUUUUAUUAGGGAAGGAGGGAGUCGGCUUGACGGUAAUUGGUGAAAAAGCACCGGCUAACUACGUG
RNAcentral lists this ribosomal RNA (468 nucleotides) under uncultured bacterium. Its description in RNAcentral is "partial 16S ribosomal RNA". It matches the Rfam family "Bacterial small subunit ribosomal RNA", at positions 28 to 507 of the family's 1533-position model. The record is from RNAcentral.